Long non-coding RNA from Macaca fascicularis (crab-eating macaque), 1195 nucleotides. Lineage: Eukaryota; Metazoa; Chordata; Mammalia; Primates; Cercopithecidae. The record is from Ensembl.
GGGCUGAGAGAAGAGGGCCUGGAACCAGUCUGUUGAGUGUAACGAGGGACAAUGCUAAGUGUGUUAUGAUCUCAUUAAAAGUACAUAGAAACUUGAGAUAUGCAGUAAUUCACUAACAAACCGAGUGUUACAAGACAUGCUAAGACCUUGUGUCAUAAAUACUUGUGCAUUUACUUGAUCUCCCCGCUUUAGGGCCAGGACUGAGUUUUGUACUCGUUGUAUCAGGGCAUCUUGCCCCAGACCUGUCACCCACUAGAAUUUGUUGUUAAACAAAUGAGGCUUCCUUCCUUAUGUGGCCCCCCACCCCUCUUCUAAAGAGGACAAUUAAAGUACGAGAGAACGGAUGAGAUUAGAACGCUGGUGGGACUGAGAUGGGAAAGGACCUUAAAGGUUAUUCGUCCAAAGAAGAAAACCAGCCUUUUCCCGGCAGACGGAAACUGACGCGCUCCCCCUGGAGGCAGCGCAGGAUGCUCCCGGGAGUCCAGGCGUCCCAGCUUGGGGUCCCCAUCCUCGUGUGCAGUCAGGGCACUGGUGGGAACCCUGGGCUCCAGGCGGCCCUCGCGCUUGGCGCUGGUACAAGUCGGGGUAACCUUACGGCUUGUGCAUCCAGAGAAGCGAGGUCCCUGGUGGAGACUAGCUUGGGAUAGGUUGGGGAGACGCCCUCCGUUCUUCUAGAUGGCUGGGGUCUCAACAGCAAGCAGUGGGGAAUAAGACUUACUGAACAAACCCUGAGACUGUUAAAGGAGUGCAUACUAUCAAAGGGACAGGCAUCCCCUGUGAACCUACUGAUGAAUUUUUCCUAAUGCUUAAUUUAGCUUGUGGACAGAAAUGCUGGGGCGAGACACGGCCAAGUCCGUCCUGUUCCUCCAGGGAAAUCCCCUCUCCGCCCUCCCUCUCCAUCUCCAUCUCCUCUUGCCCACCUCCUCCUCCUCCCCUUCUCCCCCAUCCCACCGCGCCCACCCCGCGUCAUCGCCCCCUUUCCCCUCCCACCUCCCGGCCGUGGUGCGGCGCUGCUCUCUCCUCCUCCGCAGUCUCGGCGGGAGCUCCGGGUGCUGUGGCCCGGCCUUGGCUGGGCGGCCUUCGGCUCAGGCUGGCUGAGAGGCUCCCAGCUGCAGCGUCCCCGCCCGCCUCCUCGGGAGCUCUGAUCUCAGCUGACAGUGCCCUCGGGGACCAAACAAGCCUCGCAGCUGAGUAA